GUGGGGAAUAUUGGACAAUGGGCGCAAGCCUGAUCCAGCCAUGCCGCGUGAGUGAUGAAGGCCUUAGGGUUGUAAAGCUCUUUCGUCAGGGAAGAUAAUGACGGUACCUGAAGAAGAAGCCCCGGCUAACUUCGUGCCAGCAGCCGCGGUAAUACGAAGGGGGCUAGCGUUGCUCGGAAUCACUGGGCGUAAAGCGCACGUAGGCGGCUUUCUAAGUCAGGGGUGAAAUCCUGGAGCUCAACUCCAGAACUGCCUUUGAUACUGGAGAGCUUGAGUUCGGGAGAGGUGAGUGGAACUGCGAGUGUAGAGGUGAAAUUCGUAGAUAUUCGCAAGAACACCAGUGGCGAAGGCGGCUCACUGGCCCGAUACUGACGCUGAGGUGCGAAAGCGUGGGGAGCAAACAGGAUUAGAAACCCGAGUAGUCC
Molecule: ribosomal RNA, 425 nt
Filed under: uncultured bacterium
Lineage: Bacteria
Description: partial 16S ribosomal RNA
Rfam family: Bacterial small subunit ribosomal RNA
Source: RNAcentral